GGCGGCGUGGUGUAAUGGAUAGAACAUCAGUCCGGUCAACUGAAGAUGCUGGUUCGCAUCCAGCAGCCGAAU
Molecule: non-coding RNA, 72 nt
Organism: Meloidogyne enterolobii
Lineage: Eukaryota; Metazoa; Nematoda; Chromadorea; Rhabditida; Meloidogynidae
Source: the annotation of a GenBank genome assembly